UACGUAGGGUGCGAGCGUUAAUCGGAAUUACUGGGCGUAAAGCGUGCGCAGGCGGUUCGUUGUGUCUGAUGUGAAAGCCCCGGGCUUAACCUGGGAAUGGCAUUGGAAACUGGCGAGCUGGAGUGUGGCAGAGGGGGGUGGAGUUCCGCGUGUAGCAGUGAAAUGCGUAGAGAUGCAGAGGAACACCGAUGGCGAAGGCAGCCCCCUGGGCCAACACUGACGCUCAGGCACGAAAGCGUGGGGAGCAAACAGG
RNAcentral lists this ribosomal RNA (253 nucleotides) under uncultured bacterium. Its description in RNAcentral is "partial 16S ribosomal RNA". It matches the Rfam family "Bacterial small subunit ribosomal RNA", at positions 524 to 776 of the family's 1533-position model. The record is from RNAcentral.